This 253-nucleotide ribosomal RNA is filed under the name uncultured bacterium. RNAcentral describes it as "partial 16S ribosomal RNA". It matches the Rfam family "Bacterial small subunit ribosomal RNA", at positions 524 to 776 of the family's 1533-position model. The record is from RNAcentral.
UACGGGGGGGGCAAGCGUUGUUCGGAAUUACUGGGCGUAAAGGGCUCGUAGGCGGCCAACUAAGUCAUACGUGAAAUCCCUCGGCUUAACCGGGGAACUGCGUCUGAUACUGGAUGGCUUGAGUUCGGGAGAGGGAUGCGGAAUUCCAGGUGUAGCGGUGAAAUGCGUAGAGACUCGGAAGAACACCAGUGGCGAAGGCGGCUACCUGGACGGGUACUGACGCUGCAGCGCGAAAGCUAGGGGAGCAAACAGG